This 91-nucleotide transfer RNA is filed under the name Parcubacteria group bacterium GW2011_GWA2_38_13b. RNAcentral describes it as "tRNA-Ser". It matches the Rfam family "tRNA". From Rfam's summary of the family: Transfer RNA (tRNA) molecules are approximately 80 nucleotides in length. Their secondary structure includes four short double-helical elements and three loops (D, anti-codon, and T loops). The record is from RNAcentral. RNAcentral also lists the same sequence under 1 other name.
GGUGAGGUGGCCGAGAGGCUUAAGGCGGCAGGUUGCUAACCUGUUGUAUGGCUUUAAAACCGUACCGUGGGUUCAAAUCCCACCCUCACCG